Molecule: ribosomal RNA, 581 nt
Filed under: uncultured bacterium
Lineage: Bacteria
Description: partial 16S ribosomal RNA
Rfam family: Bacterial small subunit ribosomal RNA
Source: RNAcentral
UGGGGAAUAUUGCACAAUGGGCGCAAGCCUGAUGCAGCCAUGCCGCGUGUGUGAAGAAGGCCUUCGGGUUGUAAAGCACUUUCAGCGAGGAGGAAGGUGGUGAGCUUAAUACGCUCAUCAAUUGACGUUACUCGCAGAAGAAGCACCGGCUAACUCCGUGCCAGCAGCCGCGGUAAUACGGAGGGUGCAAGCGUUAAUCGGAAUUACUGGGCGUAAAGCGCACGCAGGCGGUUUGUUAAGUCAGAUGUGAAAUCCCCGGGCUCAACCUGGGAACUGCAUUUGAAACUGGCAAGCUAGAGUCUCGUAGAGGGGGGUAGAAAUUCCAGGUGUAGCGGUGAAAUGCGUAGAGAUCUGGAGGAAUACCGGUGGCGAAGGCGGCCCCCUGGACGAAGACUGACGCUCAGGUGCGAAAAGCGUGGGGAGCAAAACAGGAUUAGAUACCCUGGUAGUCCACGCUGUAAAACGAUGUCGAUUUUGGAGGUUGUGCCCUUGAGGCGUGGCUUCCGGAGCUAACGCGUUAAAAUCGACCGCCUGGGGAGUACGGCCGCAAGGUUAAAAACUCAAAAGGAAUUGACGGGGUC